AGGGUUUGAUCCUGGCUCAGAUUAAACGCUGGCGGCAUGGCUAAAACAUGCAAGUCGAACGAUCCCUUCGGGGAGAGUGGCGAAAGGGCGAGGAAUACGAUCGAAUGUACCCCGAGGUGGGGGAUAGCUUAUGGAAACGUAAGGUAAUACCCCAUGAUCUCUACGGAGCAAAGGCUUGCCGCCUUGGGAGCAGCGAUCGUCCUAUCAGGUAGUUGGUGAGGUAACGGCUCACCAAGCCGAAGACGGGUAGCGGGUGUGAGAGCAUGACCCGCCGCAUCGGGACUGAGACACUGCCCGGACUCCUACGGGAGGCUGCAGUAACGAAUCUUCCGCAAUGGGCGAAAGCCUGACGGAGCAAUGCCGCGUGUGGGAUGAAGCAUCUUCGAUGUGUAAACCACUGUCAGGGACUAGCAACCAUGAGCAGUCCCAGAGGAAGGGCCGGCUAAUUCUGUGCCAGCAGCCGCGGUAAUACAGAAGGCCCAAGCGUUAAUCGGAAUCACUGGGCUUAAAGCGUACUCAGGCGGAUCGGUAGGUAUCUCGUGAAAUCCCACGGCUCAACCGUGGAACUGCGGGGUAAACCAUCGAUCUAGAGGCAGGUAGGGGUCAACGGAACCAUGUGUGGACCGGUGAAAUGGAUAGAUAUACAUGGGAACGCCAAUGGCGAAGGCAGUUGACUGGGCCUGACCUGACGCUCAGGUACGAAAGCGUGGGGAGCGAACGGGAUUAGAUACCCCGGUAGUCCACGCCGUAAACGAUGCACACUAGGUCGGGGAGGCUUUCACGCCCUCCCGGCCGAAGGAAAACCAUUAAGUGUGCCGCCUGGGGAGUACGGUCGCAAGGCUAAAACUCAAAGGAAUUGACGGGGGCUCACACAAGCGGUGGAGCAUGUUGCUUAAUUCGAGGCAACGCGAAGAACCUUACCUGGUCUUGACAUGUACGGAUUAACCCCUGGAAACAGGGGCCACGCCCUUGGGUGGAACGUACACAGGUGCUGCAUGGCUGUCGUCAGCUCGUGCUGUGAAGUGUCGGGUUAAGUCCCUUAACGAGCGCAACCCCUAUCGUUAGUUACUAACGCGUUAUGGCGAGGACUCUAACGAGACUGCCGGUGUCAAACCGGAGGAAGGUGGGGAUGACGUCAAGUCCUCAUGGCCCUUACGACCAGGGCUGCAAACGUGCUACAAUGGUAUGGACAGAGCGAUGCAAGACCGCGAGGUGGAGCAAAUCGCACAAACCAUGCCCC
This 1240-nucleotide ribosomal RNA is filed under the name metagenome. Its description in RNAcentral is "bacterial SSU rRNA". It matches the Rfam family "Bacterial small subunit ribosomal RNA", at positions 8 to 1289 of the family's 1533-position model. The record is from RNAcentral.